RNAcentral lists this ribosomal RNA (253 nucleotides) under uncultured bacterium. Its description in RNAcentral is "partial 16S ribosomal RNA". It matches the Rfam family "Bacterial small subunit ribosomal RNA", at positions 524 to 776 of the family's 1533-position model. The record is from RNAcentral.
UACAGAGAGUGCAAACGUUGUUCGGAAUUACUGGGCUUGAAGCGCACGUAGGCGGCGUUGUAAGUGUCGGGUGAAAUCCCACGGCUCACCCGUGGAACUGCCCGGCAUACUGCGAUGCUAGAGUGUGGUAGGGGAGAGCGGAACUCCUGGUGGAGCGGUGAAAUGCGUAGAUAUCAGGAAGAACACCGGUGGCGAAGGCGGCUCUCUGGUCCACAACUGACGCUGAGGUGCGAAAGCGUGGGGAGCAAACAGG